Molecule: ribosomal RNA, 442 nt
Filed under: uncultured bacterium
Lineage: Bacteria
Description: partial 16S ribosomal RNA
Rfam family: Bacterial small subunit ribosomal RNA
Source: RNAcentral
CCUACGGGAGGCAGCAGUGGGGAAUAUUGGGCAAUGGGCGCAAGCCUGACCCAGCAACGCCGCGUGAAGGAAGAAGGCUUUCGGGUUGUAAACUUCUUUUAAGAGGGAAGAGCAGAAGACGGUACCUCUUGAAUAAGCCACGGCUAACUACGUGCCAGCAGCCGCGGUAAUACGUAGGUGGCAAGCGUUGUCCGGAUUUACUGGGGGUAAAGGGCGUGCAGCCGGGAAGACAAGUCAGAUGUGAAAUCCCGCGGCUCAACCGCGGAACUGCAUUUGGAACUGUUUUGCUUGAGUACCGGAGAGGUCAUCGGAAUUCCUUGUGUAGCGGUGAAAUGCGUAGAUAUAAGGAAGAACACCAGUGGCGAAGGCGGAUGACUGGACGGCAACUGACGGUGAGGCGCGAAAGCGUGGGGAGCAAACAGGAUUAGAUACCCCAGUAGUC